UUGCUGUGAUGAAACUAACUAGCUCACUUUGAAUAAAGAUGAAAAGUUAAGAACACCUGAGCAUC
Molecule: non-coding RNA, 65 nt
Organism: Xenopus tropicalis (tropical clawed frog)
Lineage: Eukaryota; Metazoa; Chordata; Amphibia; Anura; Pipidae
Source: Rfam